This 434-nucleotide ribosomal RNA is filed under the name uncultured bacterium. RNAcentral describes it as "bacterial SSU rRNA". It matches the Rfam family "Bacterial small subunit ribosomal RNA", at positions 32 to 507 of the family's 1533-position model. The record is from RNAcentral.
AGAACGACGCUGGCGGCAUGCCUAACACAUGCAAGUCGAACGAGACCUUCGGGUCUAGUGGCGCACGGGUGCGUAACGCGUGGGAAUCUGCCCUUAGGUUCGGAAUAACUUCGGGAAACUGAAGCUAAUACCGGAUGAUGACGUAAGUCCAAAGAUUUAUCGCCUAAGGAUGAGCCCGCGUUGGAUUAGCUAGUUGGUGAGGUAAAGGCUCACCAAGGCGACGAUCCAUAGCUGGUCUGAGAGGAUGAUCAGCCACACUGGGACUGAGACACGGCCCAGACUCCUACGGGAGGCAGCAGUGGGGAAUAUUGGACAAUGGGCGAAAGCCUGAUCCAGCAAUGCCGCGUGAGUGAUGAAGGCCUUAGGGUUGUAAAGCUCUUUUACCCGGGAUGAUAAUGACAGUACCGGGAGAAUAAGCUCCGGCUAACUCCGUG